UACGUAGGGCGCAAGCGUUAUCCGGAAUUAUUGGGCGUAAAGGGCUCGUAGGCGGUUUGUCGCGUCGGGAGUGAAAACUCAGGGCUUAACCCUGAGCCUGCUUCCGAUACGGGCAGACUAGAGGUAUGCAGGGGAGAACGGAAUUUCCGGUGUAGCGGUGAAAUGCGCAGAUAUCAGGAGGAACACCGAUGGCGAAGGCAGGUCUCUGGGCCGCAACUGACGCUGGAGGAGCGAAAGCAUGGGGAGCGAACAGG
Molecule: ribosomal RNA, 254 nt
Filed under: uncultured bacterium
Lineage: Bacteria
Description: partial 16S ribosomal RNA
Rfam family: Bacterial small subunit ribosomal RNA
Source: RNAcentral